This 765-nucleotide ribosomal RNA is filed under the name uncultured Streptococcus sp. RNAcentral describes it as "bacterial SSU rRNA". It matches the Rfam family "Bacterial small subunit ribosomal RNA", at positions 28 to 776 of the family's 1533-position model. The record is from RNAcentral. Lineage: Bacteria; Bacillati; Bacillota; Bacilli; Lactobacillales; Streptococcaceae.
GACGAACGCUGGCGGCGUGCCUAAUACAUGCAAGUAGAACGCUGAAGAGAGGAGCUUGCUCUUCUUGGAUGAGUUGCGAGCGGGUGAGUAACGCGUAGGUAACCUGCCUUGUAGCGGGGGAUAACUAUUGGAAACGAUAGCUAAUACCGCAUAACAAUGGAUGACACAUGUCAUUUAUUUGAAAGGGGCAAUUGCUCCACUACAAGAUGGACCUGCGUUGUAUUAGCUAGUAGGUGAGGUAACGGCUCACCUAGGCGACGAUACAUAGCCGACCUGAGAGGGUGAUCGGCCACACUGGGACUGAGACACGGCCCAGACUCCUACGGGAGGCAGCAGUAGGGAAUCUUCGGCAAUGGGGGCAACCCUGACCGAGCAACGCCGCGUGAGUGAAGAAGGUUUUCGGAUCGUAAAGCUCUGUUGUAAGUCAAGAACGAGUGUGAGAGUGGAAAGUUCACACUGUGACGGUAGCUUACCAGAAAGGGACGGCUAACUACGUGCCAGCAGCCGCGGUAAUACGUAGGUCCCGAGCGUUGUCCGGAUUUAUUGGGCGUAAAGCGAGCGCAGGCGGUUUGAUAAGUCUGAAGCUAAAGGCUGUGGCUCAACCAUAGUUCGCUUUGGAAACUGUCAAACUUGAGUGCAGAAGGGGAGAGUGGAAUUCCAUGUGUAGCGGUGAAAUGCGUAGAUAUAUGGAGGAACACCGGUGGCGAAAGCGGCUCUCUGGUCUGUAACUGACGCUGAGGCUCGAAAGCGUGGGGAGCGAACAGG